CUGAACACCACACACUAGCACGCACACACAUUUACACCUUCACAUACAGACCAUGUGCAAUAACUAGUACUUUUAGUUUGUACAUUUCUUCUAUUUUAUGAUUGUAUUGUUUUACUCUUUAUUUCUUGUUUGUUAAAUUUAGAUUUAUGUUUACUGGGUGAACUGCAGCUAAAAAUUUCAUUGUUCUUUUUACACAAU
Molecule: long non-coding RNA, 198 nt
Organism: Etheostoma cragini (Arkansas darter)
Lineage: Eukaryota; Metazoa; Chordata; Actinopteri; Perciformes; Percidae
Exons: 3
Source: RefSeq, a predicted model, not a curated record